CGUAUGAGCUGAAGAAAUAAGGACACGUGGUACACUAGGAGUCGGCAAUAAGGCGCUUGAAGGUCAAAAGCGUUUAGACGGGAACGGUUGAGAAGUGGGGCGUAACUUCCAUGUGAAGUGGGGCAUAACUUUCAUGUGAAGUGGGACGUAACUUCCAUGAGAAAUGGGGCAUAACUUCCACGAUCAUGGUUACAACCACUUCCCCAACCAACCAAAAAUGUGGGCUGAGAAGACAUCACUAUAAAUAGUAAAGACAUCACUAUAAAUAGUAACUUCAAAGCCUGUAAUAAAGGUCUUUUCCCCUGAGAACAAAAGACCACCCUUAUUUCCUCUGCAUUUUAUCGCUUUUCUAUGAGUAGUCUAAAUGUAAUCUUUUUCUUUUCCGCAUUUACUGCUUUCCUAGGAGUAAUUCGCUAAGUAGAACCCUGAAGUCUGUUUGCCUCACGGGUAUCACUCCGUUGUAGACUAUAUUUGCAAAGUCUGUCUGCACCAUGGGCAUCACUCUAUUGUAAACUAUAUUUGCAGA
RNAcentral lists this long non-coding RNA (526 nucleotides) under Ananas comosus (pineapple). Its description in RNAcentral is "long non-coding RNA (ACOM_LNC020739)". The record is from RNAcentral. Lineage: Eukaryota; Viridiplantae; Streptophyta; Magnoliopsida; Poales; Bromeliaceae.